RNAcentral lists this non-coding RNA (25 nucleotides) under Drosophila erecta. Lineage: Eukaryota; Metazoa; Arthropoda; Insecta; Diptera; Drosophilidae. RNAcentral also lists the same sequence under 11 other names. The record is from RNAcentral.
CGACUCUUAGCGGUGGAUCACUCGG